GUGGGGAAUAUUGGGCAAUGGGCGAAAGCCUGACCCAGCCACGCCGCGUGUGUGAAGAAGGUCUUCGGAUUGUAAAGCACUUUAAGUUGGGAGGAAGGGCAGUAAGUUAAUACCUUGCUGUUUUGACGUUACCGACAGAAUAAGCACCGGCUAACUUCGUGCCAGCAGCCGCGGUAAUACGAAGGGUGCAAGCGUUAAUCGGAAUUACUGGGCGUAAAGCGCGCGUAGGUGGUUUUGUAAGUUGGAGGUGAAAUCCCCGGGCUCAACCUGGGAACUGCCUCCAAAACUGCAUGACUAGAGUACGGUAGAGGGUAGUGGAAUUUCCUGUGUAGCGGUGAAAUGCGUAGAUAUAGGAAGGAACACCAGUGGCGAAGGCGACUACCUGGACUGAUACUGACACUGAGGUGCGAAAGCGUGGGGAGCAAACAGGAUUAGAAACCCCUGUAGUCC
Molecule: ribosomal RNA, 450 nt
Filed under: uncultured bacterium
Lineage: Bacteria
Description: partial 16S ribosomal RNA
Rfam family: Bacterial small subunit ribosomal RNA
Source: RNAcentral